GAUGAACGCUGACAGAAUGCUUAACACAUGCAAGUCUUUGGCGAAGCUGUGCUCGCACAGCCUAGCCAAGGCGGACGGGUGAGUAACGCGUAAGGAACUUGCCCUGCAGUCAGGGAUAACAGACGGAAACGACUGAUAAGACCUGGUAAAGUCAGGCGGACUCAUGUCCAGCCUGAUGAAAAGAGAUGCUGCAGGAGAGCCUUGCGUCCUAUUAGCUUGUUGGUGGGGUAACGGCCCACCAAGGCGAUGAUAGGUAGCCGGCCUGAGAGGGUGGACGGCCACAAGGGGACUGAGAUACGGCCCUUACUCCUACGGGAGGCAGCAGUGGGGAAUAUUGGACAAUGGGGGCAACCCUGAUCCAGCCAUUCUGUGUGCACGAUGAAGGUUUUCGGAUUGUAAAGUGCUUUCAGCAGGGAAGAAAAAAAUGACGGUACCUGCAGAAGAAGCGACGGCUAAAUACGUG
Molecule: ribosomal RNA, 463 nt
Filed under: uncultured bacterium
Lineage: Bacteria
Description: partial 16S ribosomal RNA
Rfam family: Bacterial small subunit ribosomal RNA
Source: RNAcentral